UGGAACUUGGACUGUUAUGAGCAUGUUCCAGAGACAAGUGCAUCAAGGGAUGAAAUUAUUGGUCUUAUUUGGCCUUUGAAUGAGCAAAGGUGAGCUUGUAAGUGGCAGUAGACCACGUAGAACAUUUGGAACAGAGUUUCCUCUCUAUUUUGGCGUGCUGCCACAAACCAGGGGAGUUAACUCGGAAUCGUGAAUUACACCUAAUGGCUACGGAAGGGCAAGGCGGUGAGCGUAGCAGCACACAAACUGGAAACAUGCAUAGAAGCUCCAGUUGCACCCCCUUCCAUGCUGCUGCGGUGUUGGUGGGGUCUGGAACACACGGCCAUCUGACAAUAUCAAACAUGAUCCCAGUGCUUGAAAUGUUGAUUGGAGGCUAAGCAGGAUGUACUCCAACAUGGCAUUAUGGAGAGAAAGUGGAAAGGACUCAGGUAGAAAGGAAGGCACAGAGAGUCAAAAUCACCCUGAUCUCCAUGUUUACUAUUCUCCAGAAUACUCUGAAGUAACCUAACAUUUCUUUUUGUUUUAUGGCUGGAAUUUUAAAUUUAUUAUAGUAUUUCAGUAGUAUUGAUCUUCA
This is a long non-coding RNA of Vidua chalybeata, 574 nucleotides long. RefSeq lists it as uncharacterized. The transcript has 3 exons. Lineage: Eukaryota; Metazoa; Chordata; Aves; Passeriformes; Viduidae. The record is from RefSeq and is a predicted model, not a curated record.